AUGCCGUAAACGAUGUCUACUAGCCGUUGGGGCUAAAACUCAAAGGAAUUGACGGGGGCCCGCACAAGCGGCGGAGCAUGCUGAUUAAUUCGAUGCAACGCGAAGAACCUUACCUGGGUUUAACAUAUACCGGAAAGCUGCAGAGAUGUAGCCCCCCUUGUGG
This 163-nucleotide ribosomal RNA is filed under the name uncultured Nocardioides sp. RNAcentral describes it as "partial 16S ribosomal RNA". It matches the Rfam family "Bacterial small subunit ribosomal RNA", at positions 797 to 1024 of the family's 1533-position model. Lineage: Bacteria; Bacillati; Actinomycetota; Actinomycetes; Propionibacteriales; Nocardioidaceae. The record is from RNAcentral.